Molecule: unclassified non-coding RNA, 391 nt
Filed under: soil metagenome
Description: partial contains 5.8S ribosomal RNA, internal transcribed spacer 2, and large subunit ribosomal RNA
Rfam family: 5.8S ribosomal RNA (bases 1-122)
Source: RNAcentral
GAUGAAGAACGUAGCGAAAUGCGAUACUUGGUGUGAAUUGCAGAAUCCCGUGAACCAUCGAGUCUUUGAACGCAAGUUGCGCCCGAAGCCAUUAGGCCGAGGGCACGCCUGCCUGGGCGUCACACGUCGUUGCCCCCCCAUCUACUCCUUCGGGAUUGCGGGGGGCGGAUGAUGUCCUCCCGUGCGCCUCGCCGCGCGGUUGGCAUAAAUGCCAAGUCCUCGGCGACGCACGCCACGACAAUCGGUGGUUGCGAAACCUCGGUUGCCCGUCGUGUGCGGUCGUCGCGCAUCGAGGGCUCGAAAAAAUUGCCGGGUUCCGGCUCGGCUUUCAACGCGACCCCAGGUCAGGCGGGGUUACCCGCUGAAUUUAAGCAUAUCAAUAAGCGGAGGA